RNAcentral lists this unclassified non-coding RNA (216 nucleotides) under Glomus sp. Its description in RNAcentral is "partial contains 5.8S ribosomal RNA and internal transcribed spacer 2". The stretch from base 1 to 65 matches the Rfam family "5.8S ribosomal RNA", at positions 84 to 154 of the family's 154-position model. Lineage: Eukaryota; Fungi; Glomeromycota; Glomeromycetes; Glomerales; Glomeraceae. The record is from RNAcentral.
GUGAAUCAUCAAAUCUUUGAACGCAAAUUGCACUCUCUUCGGAGAGUAUGCCUGUUUGAGGGUCAGCCUAAAAAAAAUCGACAUAGCUGCUUUUUUGCGGUGACAUUCGGCGGGAAUUGUGUCAUCUUAAACCUUUGGGUUUUUUAAGCCGCUUAAAAUUUUCUUUACGAUUCCACGAACGUUUCUAAUCGUUUACUUCUUACCCCCGUUUAAGGU